This 305-nucleotide ribosomal RNA is filed under the name uncultured bacterium. RNAcentral's name for it is "bacterial SSU rRNA". It matches the Rfam family "Bacterial small subunit ribosomal RNA", at positions 335 to 640 of the family's 1533-position model. The record is from RNAcentral.
GUGCCUACGGGGGCAGCAGUGGGGAAUAUUGCACAAUGGGGGAAACCCUGAUGCAGCGACGCCGCGUGAGUGAAGAAGUAUUUCGGUAUGUAAAGCUCUAUCAGCAGGGAAGAAAUACUGACCUUACGGUCAGCAGACGGUACCUGACUAAGAAGCCCCGGCUAACUACGUGCCAGCAGCCGCGGUAAUACGUAGGGGGCAAGCGUUAUCCGGAUUUACUGGGUGUAAAGGGUGCGUAGGCGGGUAAGCAAGUCAGAAGUGAAAUCCAUGGGCUUAACCCAUGAACUGCUUUUGAAACUGUUUAU